RNAcentral lists this ribosomal RNA (726 nucleotides) under uncultured bacterium. RNAcentral describes it as "bacterial SSU rRNA". It matches the Rfam family "Bacterial small subunit ribosomal RNA", at positions 789 to 1515 of the family's 1533-position model. The record is from RNAcentral.
GGUAGUCCACGCCGUAAACGAUGUCGACUUGGAGGUUGUGCCCUUGAGGCGUGGCUUCCGGAGCUAACGCGUUAAGUCGACCGCCUGGGGAGUACGGCCGCAAGGUUAAAACUCAAAUGAAUUGACGGGGGCCCGCACAAGCGGUGGAGCAUGUGGUUUAAUUCGAUGCAACGCGAAGAACCUUACCUACUCUUGACAUCCAGAGAACUUAGCAGAGAUGCUUUGGUGCCUUCGGGAACUCUGAGACAGGUGCUGCAUGGCUGUCGUCAGCUCGUGUUGUGAAAUGUUGGGUUAAGUCCCGCAACGAGCGCAACCCUUAUCCUUUGUUGCCAGCGGUUAGGCCGGGAACUCAAAGGAGGCUGCCAGUGAUAAACUGGAGGAAGGUGGGGAUGACGUCAAGUCAUCAUGGCCCUUACGAGUAGGGCUACACACGUGCUACAAUGGCGCAUACAAAGAGAAGCGACCUCGCGAGAGCAAGCGGACCUCAUAAAGUGCGUCGUAGUCCGGAUUGGAGUCUGCAACUCGACUCCAUGAAGUCGGAAUCGCUAGUAAUCGUAGAUCAGAAUGCUACGGUGAAUACGUUCCCGGGCCUUGUACACACCGCCCGUCACACCAUGGGAGUGGGUUGCAAAAGAAGUAGGUAGCUUAACCUUCGGGAGGGCGCUUACCACUUUGUGAUUCAUGACUGGGGUGAAGUCGUAACAAGGUAACCGUAGGGGAACCUGC